This 1372-nucleotide ribosomal RNA is filed under the name uncultured bacterium. RNAcentral's name for it is "bacterial SSU rRNA". It matches the Rfam family "Bacterial small subunit ribosomal RNA", at positions 28 to 1381 of the family's 1533-position model. The record is from RNAcentral.
GAUGAACGCUGGCGGCGUGCCUAAUACAUGCAAGUCGAGCGAACGGACGAGAAGCUUGCUUCUCUGAUGUUAGCGGCGGACGGGUGAGUAACACGUGGAUAACCUACCUAUAAGACUGGGAUAACUUCGGGAAACCGUAGCUAAUACCGGAUAAUAUUUUGAACCGCAUGGUUCAAAAGUGAAAGACGGUCUUGCUGUCACUUAUAGAUGGAUCCGCGCUGCAUUAGCUAGUUGGUAAGGUAACGGCUUACCAAGGCAACGAUGCAUAGCCGACCUGAGAGGGUGAUCGGCCACACUGGAACUGAGACACGGUCCAGACUCCUACGGGAGGCAGCAGUAGGGAAUCUUCCGCAAUGGGCGAAAGCCUGACGGAGCAACGCCGCGUGAGUGAUGAAGGUCUUCGGAUCGUAAAACUCUGUUAUUAGGGAAGAACAUAUGUGUAAGUAACUGUGCACAUCUUGACGGUACCUAAUCAGAAAGCCACGGCUAACUACGUGCCAGCAGCCGCGGUAAUACGUAGGUGGCAAGCGUUAUCCGGAAUUAUUGGGCGUAAAGCGCGCGUAGGCGGUUUUUUAAGUCUGAUGUGAAAGCCCACGGCUCAACCGUGGAGGGUCAUUGGAAACUGGAAAACUUGAGUGCAGAAGAGGAAAGUGGAAUUCCAUGUGUAGCGGUGAAAUGCGCAGAGAUAUGGAGGAACACCAGUGGCGAAGGCGACUUUCUGGUCUGUAACUGACGCUGAUGUGCGAAAGCGUGGGGAUCAAACAGGAUUAGAUACCCUGGUAGUCCACGCCGUAAACGAUGAGUGCUAAGUGUUAGGGGGUUUCCGCCCCUUAGUGCUGCAGCUAACGCAUUAAGCACUCCGCCUGGGGAGUACGACCGCAAGGUUGAAACUCAAAGGAAUUGACGGGGACCCGCACAAGCGGUGGAGCAUGUGGUUUAAUUCGAAGCAACGCGAAGAACCUUACCAAAUCUUGACAUCCUUUGACAACUCUAGAGAUAGAGCCUUCCCCUUCGGGGGACAAAGUGACAGGUGGUGCAUGGUUGUCGUCAGCUCGUGUCGUGAGAUGUUGGGUUAAGUCCCGCAACGAGCGCAACCCUUAAGCUUAGUUGCCAUCAUUAAGUUGGGCACUCUAAGUUGACUGCCGGUGACAAACCGGAGGGAGGUGGGGAUGACGUCAAAUCAUCAUGCCCCUUAUGAUUUGGGCUACACACGUGCUACAAUGGACAAUACAAAGGGCAGCGAAACCGCGAGGUCAAGCAAAUCCCAUAAAGUUGUUCUCAGUUCGGAUUGUAGUCUGCAACUCGACUACAUGAAGCUGGAAUCGCUAGUAAUCGUAGAUCAGCAUGCUACGGUGAAUACGUUCCCGGGUCU